GCCCAGGUGGUGAAAUGGCAUACACGUCAGUUCGAGGGGCUGAUGCCUGAAUAAGGCGUGCGGGUUCAAGUCCCGCCCUGGGCA
RNAcentral lists this transfer RNA (84 nucleotides) under Chloroflexota bacterium. Its description in RNAcentral is "Chloroflexi bacterium tRNA-Leu". It matches the Rfam family "tRNA". Rfam says of the family: Transfer RNA (tRNA) molecules are approximately 80 nucleotides in length. Their secondary structure includes four short double-helical elements and three loops (D, anti-codon, and T loops). RNAcentral also lists the same sequence under 1 other name. Lineage: Bacteria; Bacillati; Chloroflexota. The record is from RNAcentral.